AGAGGUGAGGGUAAUUUAGAUGUGAUAUCUAUCACUCCAUAGAUGAUCUAGCUGGUUAGGCAGGGGUCCUCUUUCCUUCCACUCCACUUUGUGUACCUCCCUCCAAAAGCUUGGUGCUUGGUUUAAAAGGACGACUUUCUCUGAUCCGGGUGGACUCUACAGUCAAGGGUAUCCCAGUGGCUGUGUUCCCUACCGGAACCUCCAAACAAGCCCUCAUGGUCCAACUGCUGGUAUUUUAGGAGUGCACCCCUGCACACAGCAAGAUUUAAUGCAUGGGUAGGAACGUACCCAACUUGCUUAGGGAUU
Molecule: small nuclear RNA, 306 nt
Filed under: Peromyscus maniculatus bairdii (prairie deer mouse)
Lineage: Eukaryota; Metazoa; Chordata; Mammalia; Rodentia; Cricetidae
Description: 7SK RNA (ENSPEMG00000003149.2)
Rfam family: 7SK RNA
About the family: 7SK was discovered as an abundant small nuclear RNA in the mid-70s but a possible function has only recently been suggested. Two independent studies have found that 7SK RNA binds the CDK9/cyclin T complex (known as elongation factor P-TEFb).
Source: Rfam by way of RNAcentral